AGUGAACGCUGGCGGUAGGCCUAACACAUGCAAGUCGAACGGCAGCACAGUAAGAGCUUGCUCUUACGGGUGGCGAGUGGCGGACGGGUGAGGAAUACAUCGGAAUCUACUUUUUCGUGGGGGAUAACGUAGGGAAACUUACGCUAAUACCGCAUACGACCUACGGGUGAAAGCAGGGGAUCUUCGGACCUUGCGCGAUUGAAUGAGCCGAUGUCGGAUUAGCUAGUUGGCGGGGUAAAGGCCCACCAAGGCGACGAUCCGUAGCUGGUCUGAGAGGAUGAUCAGCCACACUGGAACUGAGACACGGUCCAGACUCCUACGGGAGGCAGCAGUGGGGAAUAUUGGACAAUGGGCGCAAGCCUGAUCCAGCCAUACCGCGUGCGUGAAGAAGGCCUUCGGGUUGUAAAGCCCUUUUGUUGGGAAAGAAAAGCAGCAGGUUAAUACCCCGCUGUUCUGACGGUACCCAAAGAAUAAGCACCGGCUAACUUCGUG
RNAcentral lists this ribosomal RNA (492 nucleotides) under uncultured bacterium. RNAcentral's name for it is "partial 16S ribosomal RNA". It matches the Rfam family "Bacterial small subunit ribosomal RNA", at positions 29 to 507 of the family's 1533-position model. The record is from RNAcentral.